Molecule: ribosomal RNA, 630 nt
Filed under: uncultured Alphaproteobacteria bacterium
Lineage: Bacteria; Pseudomonadati; Pseudomonadota; Alphaproteobacteria
Description: bacterial SSU rRNA
Rfam family: Bacterial small subunit ribosomal RNA
Source: RNAcentral
AGAGUUUGAUCCUGGCUCAGAACGAACGCUGGCGGCAGGCCUAACACAUGCAAGUCGAACGAAGGCCCUGUGCUUGCACAGGUGUCCUUAGUGGCAGACGGGAGAGUAACGCGUGGGAAUUUGCCCAGUAGUACGGAAUAACUGCGGGAAACUGCAGCUAAUACCGUAUACGCCCUACGGGGGAAAGAUUUAUCGCUAUUGGAUAAGCCCGCGUCGAAUUAGCUUGUUGGUGGGGUAAAAGCUCACCAAGGCGACGAUUCGUAGCUGGUCUGAGAGGACGAUCAGCCUCACUGGGACUGAGACACGGCCCAGACUCCUACGGGAGGCAGCAGUGGGAAAUAUUGGACAAUGGGCGAAAGCCUGAUCCAGCCAUGCCGCGUGAGUGAAGAAGGCCUUAGGGUUGUAAAGCUCUUUCAUCGGGGAAGAUAAUGACGGUACCCGCAGAAGAAGCCCCGGCCAACUCCGUGCCAGCAGCCGCGGUAAUACGGAGGGGGCAAGCGUUGUUCGGAAUUACUGGGCGUAAAGCGCACGUAGGCGGUUAGCAUAGUCAGGCGUGAAAUCCCGGGGCUCAACCCCGGAACUGCGCUUGAUACUGGCUAACUAGAGGUCGGGAGAGGGUAGUGGAAUUCC